GGAUAACCAAUGAUGGAGCAUAGUAAUUAAGACCAAACAUGAAAAGAGAGGAAAUGCCCUGGGCUGAAAGCAUUUCUACAUGAUACUUAAUGAAUGAACACUCCGUAGGCUUCUCUCUGAAAAAGGUAACGGUAGUCGGAAUAAUUCCGCCUCUGCUGGAAAACUUAUUUCCAACUUUAUUAGGAGCAGAACGUAAGCAGGCGUUAACUGUAAAAGAGGAAGUGCAUGAAAUUAAUGCCUUCAACUAGGGUGGCACCGCGGGAAUCUAACUCCCGUCCCUUGU
This 283-nucleotide non-coding RNA is filed under the name Neobacillus niacini. RNAcentral's name for it is "Bacillus niacini T-box sequence". It matches the Rfam family "T-box leader". Rfam says of the family: Uncharged tRNA acts as the effector for transcription antitermination of genes in the T-box leader family. T-boxes are found upstream of many aminoacyl-tRNA synthetase genes and some amino acid biosynthetic genes usually in Gram-positive bacteria. The record is from RNAcentral. Lineage: Bacteria; Bacillati; Bacillota; Bacilli; Caryophanales; Bacillaceae.